RNAcentral lists this unclassified non-coding RNA (300 nucleotides) under uncultured Glomeraceae. Its description in RNAcentral is "sequence contains 5.8S rRNA gene, ITS2". The stretch from base 1 to 71 matches the Rfam family "5.8S ribosomal RNA", at positions 84 to 154 of the family's 154-position model. The record is from RNAcentral. Lineage: Eukaryota; Fungi; Glomeromycota; Glomeromycetes; Glomerales; Glomeraceae.
GUGAGUCAUCGAAUCUUUGAACGCAAAUUGCACUUUCUGGUAUUCCGGAGAGUAUGCCUGUUUGAGGGUCAGUGUAAUAAAUAAAUCGUGGUCGUUUGCCACCUUUUCGUGGUGACGCUUCGGAAUUGAGUCGUCUUUACCCUUCGGGUUAAGUGACUUAAAAUUUUUUCAUACGAUUUCGAAACGUAUUUAAUGUAUUAUGUACGUUCACGAAUAUCGAAUGCUUUAUUAGGUGCGGUCAUUUUCAUGAAUUCGCGUCUAUAAUUUUUUUUUUUGACCUCAAAUCAGGUAAGAAUACCC